CCACCCCUAAGAGAGCAGAGAGAGAGCGAACCACCACAGCCGUUUAAAAGACUUGCCCUACCAAACACUUUUUUUCGAAAAAUAGCCUUCGCCCAGUGAAGACGCUGCCGGGUUCCGAGUGAUAUAGCGGACUUUUCGAAAAACCCCUUGCUGUCGGUCGGAAAAGUGCGAUUCUUUGGGCGGAAAAUUGAAAAAUCGCUUCACCCCUCCCCCAAAAAGGAUGCGAAGGCGCGUCUCCCACCUCUAAGGACUGUUUUUUUUAUGUUGUUGUUAUUUUUUGUAACGCUCAGGCGCUUCGGUUGCCUCGCAAAAGUGUUAAAAGAUCAAAACAAUGGAUAAACAAUAUUAAACUGAAUUAAAGGAUACCGGUGGUGAAGGAUAACAGACGUGUUUUGCCAAAAAAAGAGGCCUGUUUGAAGUCAAUUCGAGGUACGGCGCGUCCUCAAAAAAGUGCAAUAACAAGAAAUCGGGAAGAUAAAAUAAUAAAAAAUAUAAUAAUAAAAAAAGAAUAGUUUAAUUUAGACCGUGUGAUUAAAAAUUGAUGGAAUCUUAAAUAAGUAACUUAUUCGCAAGCGACUAUCCAGAAGCGGACAGUAAAAGGGAGAGCCAAAAAAAAAGGGGAGAGAAGUUCAGGCCCCGGAACUGCGCUGAUUCUUCCACCAACAACUUUCUCCACUUAUUUAUUUUAGUUUUCAAUAAUUAAGUUUUAAAAAUAAAUAAGAAAAGAAGAACAAUAUGAAAAAUAUGAUCUAUGAAGCUGAAAAUAGUUCCUAGACUCUGGAAUUGCCAGUUGCCGGUUGCCAGUUCCCAUUUCCACUUCCAUGUCCCAUCUCGAGUGGCAGAAAAGCAGGAAGCGAUCCAAAUAUAUAUCCAAGGAGGGCCCCACCAUAUGUGGGUUGUGGCAAGAACUCCUCCCCUGCCUCCUUAUGGAGAGAGGCCAAGAAUGAGAAGAAAGACCAAGAUUCUGGUUCUUGUUCGCAUGACCAAAAGGCAUCUUCGCAGACUCCCUCCUCUUUUGGAACUGAGAUGGUAGAAUGCCCAUUAAAUUAUUGCCACGAUCUAUUAGCAGCCAGGGAGGAUCGGAUCGGAUGGGAUGGGAUGGGAUGCUUGUUUUUGUUGCAUGCCUCCAAGUGGCAGGCCUAAAAAUAGAACUCCCUGCCCCCAUAUGUUCCGGAUGGGAAUCUCGAUCGGCGUCUGGCGUUGAAAGGCGAAGCGCCACUCCAGAAAGAGACUAUAUAUAUUAUUACUAUUAUAUUAUAUAACUAUUGUAACCAGAUAUUGUUUCGAGUGUAAGCUAGUCCCUAAGAUCUCCUGACUGACAUGCAAUUUCUGCAUCCGAGUGUGAUGGAUGGCAGUAAUUGGCGCUUCAGUUAUCAAUUGAUAUGGAAAUGCCAUAAGUGAUUGAUUUUCAAUAAAAAGCGAGGAGGGCAGCCAGAAGAUCACCUUCAUCUACAGACUAUA
Drosophila ananassae is the source of this 1461-nucleotide long non-coding RNA. RefSeq lists it as uncharacterized. Lineage: Eukaryota; Metazoa; Arthropoda; Insecta; Diptera; Drosophilidae. The record is from RefSeq and is a predicted model, not a curated record. The transcript has 4 exons.